RNAcentral lists this transfer RNA (67 nucleotides) under Corvus splendens (House crow). RNAcentral describes it as "tRNA-Cys". Lineage: Eukaryota; Metazoa; Chordata; Aves; Passeriformes; Corvidae. The record is from RNAcentral.
GGCUCUGUAGUGAAGUUCAUGGUGAGUUGCAAGCUCAUCGAUGUGCACUGAUAGUGCACCGGAGUCU